RNAcentral lists this ribosomal RNA (460 nucleotides) under uncultured bacterium. RNAcentral describes it as "partial 16S ribosomal RNA". It matches the Rfam family "Bacterial small subunit ribosomal RNA", at positions 338 to 795 of the family's 1533-position model. The record is from RNAcentral.
CCUACGGGAGGCAGCAGUGAGGAAUAUUGGUCAAUGGACGAGAGUCUGAACCAGCCAAGUAGCGUGAAGGAUGACUGCCCUAUGGGUUGUAAACUUCUUUUAUAUGGGAAUAAAACGUUCCACGUGUGGGAUUUUGUAUGUACCAUAUGAAUAAGGAUCGGCUAACUCCGUGCCAGCAGCCGCGGUAAUACGGAGGAUCCGAGCGUUAUCCGGAUUUAUUGGGUUUAAAGGGAGCGUAGGUGGAUUGUUAAGUCAGUUGUGAAAGUUUGCGGCUCAACCGUAAAAUUGCAGUUGAAACUGGCAGUCUUGAGUACAGUAGAGGUGGGCGGAAUUCGUGGUGCAGCGGUGAAAUGCUUAGAUAUCACGAAGAACUCCGAUUGCGAAGGCAGUUCACUGGACUGCAACUGACACUGAGGCUCGAAAGUGUGGGUAUCAAACAGGAUUAGAUACCCCAGUAGUC